GCCAGACUCCUACGGGAGGCAGCAGUGGGGAAUAUUGCACAAUGGGGGAAACCCUGAUGCAGCGACGCCGCGUGGGUGAAGAAGUAUUUCGGUAUGUAAAGCUCUAUCAGCAGGAACGAGACAAGACGGUACCUGACUAAGAAGCCCCGGCUAACUACGUGCCAGCAGCCGCGGUAAUACGUAGGGGGCAAGCGUUAUCCGGAAUCACUGGGUGUAAAGGGAGCGUAGACGGCUGUGCAAGCCUGAAGUGAGAGGCGGGGGCCCAACCCCUGGACUGCUUUGGGAACUGUACGGCUGGAGUGCAGGAGAGGUAAGUGGAAUUCCUAGUGUAGCGGUGAAAUGCGUAGAUAUUAGGAGGAACACCAGUGGCGAAGGCGGCUUACUGGACUGUAACUGACGUUGAGGCUCGAAAGCGUGGGGAGCAAACAGGAUUAGAUACCCCCGUAC
RNAcentral lists this ribosomal RNA (447 nucleotides) under uncultured bacterium. RNAcentral's name for it is "partial 16S ribosomal RNA". It matches the Rfam family "Bacterial small subunit ribosomal RNA", at positions 330 to 793 of the family's 1533-position model. The record is from RNAcentral.